GCCGGUAUAGUUUAAAUGGUUAAAACACUCAUCUCAUAAGUGGGUUAUGUAGGUUCAAUUCCUUCUUCCGGCU
Taphrina deformans PYCC 5710 is the source of this 73-nucleotide non-coding RNA. The record is from Rfam. Lineage: Eukaryota; Fungi; Ascomycota; Taphrinomycetes; Taphrinales; Taphrinaceae.